Long non-coding RNA from Cannabis sativa, 487 nucleotides. RefSeq lists it as uncharacterized. The transcript has 3 exons. Lineage: Eukaryota; Viridiplantae; Streptophyta; Magnoliopsida; Rosales; Cannabaceae. The record is from RefSeq and is a predicted model, not a curated record.
GGCUGACAGAAAUUGGAAUUUAAUUUAUAUUAAGUUUUAAUUUCAUAAGUUUAAUAAAAAAAGGAUAAAUCAAAACAAAACAUAAGUCUUCUCCCCUAAUUUUCUCUCUCUUUACUCGACCCUAAAAAGAUUAAGACCCAACGUAGAAAACCCUUUGAGUUUUCUUCAAUCCAUAUUCAAGAAUUCAGCUAGUAUUCAAGCUGGAAGAGAUAGAGACAGUUAAGGGCCCAAAAUCGUCGAGCGUUGUUAUACUAAUACUGGCCCACACACUUGAAUUUGUAUUCGAGGUAAGGAAAAAGAAAAGAUGGAUCAACCAUGAGUUAGAGGUCUCCCGAAAAAUAUACAUACCAUCCCCUUCGUCUUUUGUGCUCAGUUGAUAGGAUUCGUCUUUGGUAGUUUUUGAAUAUGUAUUAAUAUUUUGUAAUAAACUAAUACGGUGGUAUUUUUGUAAAAGUUUAUAACAAAGAAGUUCUUCGAUCCAGUAAUA